This 253-nucleotide ribosomal RNA is filed under the name uncultured bacterium. Its description in RNAcentral is "partial 16S ribosomal RNA". It matches the Rfam family "Bacterial small subunit ribosomal RNA", at positions 524 to 776 of the family's 1533-position model. The record is from RNAcentral.
UACGGGGGGGGCAAGCGUUGUUCGGAAUUACUGGGCGUAAAGCGCGCGUAGGCGGAUCUGCAAGUCGGGGGUGAAAUCCCGAGGCUCAACCUCGGAACUGCCUUCGAUACUGCGGGUCUCGAGUCCGGGAGAGGUGAGUGGAAUUCCUAGUGUAGAGGUGAAAUUCGUAGAUAUUAGGAAGAACACCAGUGGCGAAGGCGGCUCACUGGCCCGGUACUGACGCUGAGGCGCGAAAGCGUGGGGAUCAAACAGG